AGGAUCUAUCUUUCUAAAGGAAAACAUAUUUAAGAAAUUCUGAGGUUCUGGAUUCAGGCUGCCACAGCAACUCAUCCAGAUGAACUAGAGAACAAGUCACCUCACCACCUCUCCCGACAUUAAUAGGAAAGCCUCGUGUUUUGGGAUGGAUGAGUAGAAAGCAAAUGGCAGAGGACAUGUUUUAUUUGUGAACUAGGAUGACAAAAGUGAAGCCUGUGUGGUCUAAUCCCACUAACGGUGCAUACCUUCCCCCAGUGACUUAAGAACCUUUUAUUUGUCCUUACCUAACAUCUCCCAAGAACACAUUCCUGGGGUCAAGCCUUUAAAACCCUCCAAAGGAUGACCAGUUAAAUGUCAGACAAUGAAUUAAGUACAUUUAAAGAUGAUCAUUCUCCAUCUUUCUUAAAUUUUUAAUUUAAAUAAAAUAUAAUGUUCUCAUAUG
Molecule: long non-coding RNA, 442 nt
Filed under: Mus pahari (shrew mouse)
Lineage: Eukaryota; Metazoa; Chordata; Mammalia; Rodentia; Muridae
Description: lncRNA (MGP_PahariEiJ_G0004289.1)
Source: RNAcentral